RNAcentral lists this ribosomal RNA (930 nucleotides) under Streptococcus vestibularis. RNAcentral describes it as "bacterial SSU rRNA". It matches the Rfam family "Bacterial small subunit ribosomal RNA", at positions 66 to 978 of the family's 1533-position model. The record is from RNAcentral. Lineage: Bacteria; Bacillati; Bacillota; Bacilli; Lactobacillales; Streptococcaceae.
ACGCUGAAGAGAGGAGCUUGCUCUUCUUGGAUGAGUUGCGAACGGGUGAGUAACGCGUAGGUAACCUGCCUUGUAGCGGGGGAUAACUAUUGGAAACGAUAGCUAAUACCGCAUAACAAUGAAUGACUCAUGUCAUUUAUUUGAAAGGGGCAAUUGCUCCACUACAAGAUGGACCUGCGUUGUAUUAGCUAGUAGGUGAGGUAACGGCUCACCUAGGCGACGAUACAUAGCCGACCUGAGAGGGUGAUCGGCCACACUGGGACUGAGACACGGCCCAGACUCCUACGGGAGGCAGCAGUAGGGAAUCUUCGGCAAUGGGGGCAACCCUGACCGAGCAACGCCGCGUGAGUGAAGAAGGUUUUCGGAUCGUAAAGCUCUGUUGUAAGUCAAGAACGAGUGUGAGAGUGGAAAAUUCACACUGUGACGGUAGCUUACCAGAAAGGGACGGCUAACUACGUGCCAGCAGCCGCGGUAAUACGUAGGUCCCGAGCGUUGUCCGGAUUUAUUGGGCGUAAAGCGAGCGCAGGCGGUUUGAUAAGUCUGAAGUUAAAGGCUGUGGCUCAACCAUAGUUCGCUUUGGAAACUGUCAAACUUGAGUGCAGAAGGGGAGAGUGGAAUUCCAUGUGUAGCGGUGAAAUGCGUAGAUAUAUGGAGGAACACCGGUGGCGAAAGCGGCUCUCUGGUCUGUAACUGACGCUGAGGCUCGAAAGCGUGGGGAGCGAACAGGAUUAGAUACCCUGGUAGUCCACGCCGUAAACGAUGAGUGCUAGGUGUUGGAUCCUUUCCGGGAUUCAGUGCCGCAGCUAACGCAUUAAGCACUCCGCCUGGGGAGUACGACCGCAAGGUUGAAACUCAAAGGAAUUGACGGGGGCCCGCACAAGCGGUGGAGCAUGUGGUUUAAUUCGAAGCAACGCGAAGAACCUUACCAGG